This 253-nucleotide ribosomal RNA is filed under the name uncultured bacterium. Its description in RNAcentral is "partial 16S ribosomal RNA". It matches the Rfam family "Bacterial small subunit ribosomal RNA", at positions 524 to 776 of the family's 1533-position model. The record is from RNAcentral.
UACGGAGGGUGCAAGCGUUAUCCGGAUUCACUGGGUUUAAAGGGUGCGUAGGUGGGUCUGUAAGUCAGUGGUGAAAUCUCCGAGCUUAACUUGGAAACUGCCAUUGAUACUAUAGGUCUUGAAUAUUGUGGAGGUCAGCGGAAUAUGUCAUGUAGCGGUGAAAUGCUUAGAUAUGACAUAGAACACCAAUUGCGAAGGCAGCUGGCUACGCAUAUAUUGACACUGAGGCACGAAAGCGUGGGGAUCAAACAGG